This 68-nucleotide small nucleolar RNA is filed under the name Leishmania donovani. RNAcentral describes it as "H/ACA box snoRNA LD36Cs-1'H1". Lineage: Eukaryota; Euglenozoa; Kinetoplastea; Trypanosomatida; Trypanosomatidae. The record is from RNAcentral.
GGCGCUGUUAUAAUCCCGUGCCGCGCAUCUGAUCUGUGAGCGGGACGAUUCAUGCACAGCGAAGAUGC